Molecule: ribosomal RNA, 253 nt
Filed under: uncultured bacterium
Lineage: Bacteria
Description: partial 16S ribosomal RNA
Rfam family: Bacterial small subunit ribosomal RNA
Source: RNAcentral
UACAGAGGGUGCAAGCGUUGUUCGGAAUUAUUGGGCGUAAAGGGCGCGUAGGCGGUGCCACAAGUCACCUGUGAAAUCUCCGGGCUUAACUCGGAGCCUGCAGGCGAAACUGUGGUGCUGGAGUGUGGGAGAGGUGCGUGGAAUUCCCGGUGUAGCGGUGAAAUGCGCAGAUAUCGGGAGGAACACCGGUGGCGAAGGCAGGUCUCUGGGCCACUACUGACGCUGAGAAGCGAAAGCGUGGGGAGCGAACAGG